CGCCUCCUGAGUUCCACAUAUAGGAGGUCCCGCCUGCCCUGUGAUAUUAAUUUAACGGCCGCGGUAUUUUGACCGUGCAAAGGUAGCGCAAUCACUUGUCUUUUAAAUGAAGACCUGUAUGAAUGGCAUAACGAGGGCUUAACUGUCUCCCCUCCCUGAUCGAUGAAAUUGAUUUUUCCGUGCAGAAGCGGAAAUAUUAACAUAAGACGAGAAGACCCUGUGGAGCUUUAGACAAUAACUAGUCCCUGUAAAGAUCCCUCACCUAACGAAAUAAAACAAAGGGGGGCCUAGUUUGCUGUCUUUGGUUGGGGCGACCGCGGGGGAACACGAAUCCCCCAUGUGGAAGAAGAAAAAAUUUCUUUAAACUGAGAACGUUAGCUCAAAGCGCCAGAACGUCUGACCUAAAAUGACCCGGCAAAGCCGAUCAACAGAAUCAGUUACCCCAGGGAUAACAGUGCAAUCCUCCCCCAGAGCCCAUAUCGACGGGAGGGUUUACGACCUCGAUGUUGGAUCAGGAUAUCCUAAUGGUGCAGCCGCUAUUAAGGGUUCGUUUGUUCAACGAUUAAAAUCCU
RNAcentral lists this ribosomal RNA (572 nucleotides) under Hypsoblennius hentz (feather blenny). RNAcentral's name for it is "partial 16S ribosomal RNA". It matches the Rfam family "Bacterial large subunit ribosomal RNA", at positions 1819 to 2597 of the family's 2925-position model. The record is from RNAcentral. Lineage: Eukaryota; Metazoa; Chordata; Actinopteri; Blenniiformes; Blenniidae.